CACCCAAUAAAAGGAAGGAGCAGGCGCGCAAAUUACCUAAUCCUCAUUCAGGGAGGUAGUGACAAGAAAUAACAAUAGUUGCGGCUUCUUGCCAGACUAAUUGGAAUGGGCACAAUUUAAACAUCUUGACGAGAAACAAUUGGAGGGCAAGUCUGGUGCCAGCAGCCGCGGUAAUUCCAGCUCCAAUAGCGUAUACUAAAGUUGUUGCAGUUAAAAAGCUCGUAGUUGGAUUUCUGCUCGAGAGGAACGGUUGGCGUUAUUAACGUUUGGUCUGAGUUCUCGUGCAUCUGCUCACGAACCAUAUUGCUCUUAAUUGAGUGACGUCGGGGAUUGAUUCAUUUACUUUGAGAAAAAUAAAGUGUUUAAAGCAGGUUUAUGCAUCUGAAUAAGUUAGCAUGGAAUAAUGAUAAAGGACUUUGGUACUAUUUGUUGGUGUUAGAAACUGAAGUAAUGAUUAAUAGGGACAGUUGGGGGCAUUAGUAUUCUGAAGCAAGAGGUGAAAUUCUAGGACCUUUGGAAGACUAACUGCUGCGAAAGCGUUUGCCAAGGAUGUUCCCUUUGAUCAAGAACGAAAGUUGGGGGAUCGAAGACGAUCAGAUACCGUCGUAGUCUCAACUAUAAACUAUACCAACUAGGGAUCGGCCGGCGUUUAUUUCAAAGGGCCCGGUUGGCACCUUUUGAGAAAUCAAAGUAUUUGGGUUCCGGGGGGAGUAUGGUCGCAAGGCUGAAACUUAAAGGAAUUGACGGAAGGGCACCACCAGGUGUGGAGCCUGUGGCUUAAUUUGACUCAACACGGGAAAACUUACCAGGUCCAGACAUAAUUAGGAUUGACAGAUUGAGAGCCCUUUCUUGAUUUUAUGGGUGGUGGUGCAUGGCCGUUCUUAGUUGGUGGAGUGAUUUGUCUGGUUAAUUCCGUUAACGAACGAGACCCCAGCCUGCUAAAUAGCGCACGUGUGCGUUUGCAUGCGAUGAGCUUCUUAGAGGGACCAUAGCUCGCAAUACAGUCCAGGGAAGUUUGGGGCAAUAACAGGUCUGUGAUGCCCUUAGAUGUUCUGGGCCGCACACGGGCUACAUUGAUGCGUUCAAUGAGCAUAUCAGCUGGCUAUAAAUAGUCUUGGCUAACCUUUUGAACUCGCAUCGUACUAGGGAUUGACUAUUGUAAUUGUUAGUCAUGCAACGAGGAAUAUCUUGUAAAUAUGAGUCAUCAACUCGCAUUGAAUAUGUCCCUGCCCUUUGUACACACCGCCCGUCGCUCCUACCGAUGAAUGUUCCGAUGAAAUUUUUAGAGGGGUUUUAAAAUCUGGGUUUACCCGGACGUCCGAAAUCGCAAAAUUGUUAAAUCUGAAAUUUAGG
RNAcentral lists this ribosomal RNA (1353 nucleotides) under uncultured marine eukaryote. RNAcentral's name for it is "SSU rRNA". It matches the Rfam family "Eukaryotic small subunit ribosomal RNA", at positions 407 to 1777 of the family's 1831-position model. The record is from RNAcentral.